This 583-nucleotide ribosomal RNA is filed under the name uncultured bacterium. RNAcentral describes it as "bacterial SSU rRNA". It matches the Rfam family "Bacterial small subunit ribosomal RNA", at positions 56 to 647 of the family's 1533-position model. The record is from RNAcentral.
UGCAGUCGAACGGUGAUAGCAAUAUCAUAGUAGGCGCACGGGUGCGUAACACGUAUGCAACCUACCUUAUACUGAGGGAUAGCCUUUCGAAAGGGAGAUUAAUACCUCAUAACACAUCGAACUGGCAUCAGUUUAUUGUUAAAGAUUUAUUGGUAUAUGAUGGGCAUGCGUCCAAUUAGUUAGUUGGCGAGGUAACGGCUCACCAAGACGAUGAUUGGUAGGGGAACUGAGAGGUUAAUCCCCCACACUGGCACUGAGAUACGGGCCAGACUCCUACGGGAGGCAGCAGUAGGGAAUAUUGGGCAAUGGAGGCAACUCUGACCCAGCCAUGCCGCGUGCAGGAAGAGGGCGUUAUGCAUUGUAAACUGCUUUUAUAUAGGAAGAAAUAGACCUUGCGAGGUAAGUUGACGGUACUAUAUGAAUAAGCACCGGCUAACUCCGUGCCAGCAGCCGCGGUAAUACGGAGGGUGCAAGCGUUGUCCGGAUUUAUUGGGUUUAAAGGGUGCGUAGGCGGUUUAUCAAGUCAGUGGUGAACGACGGUCGCUCAACGAUUGCAGUGCCAUUGAUACUGGUAGACUUGAGU